Coccomyxa sp. Obi is the source of this 71-nucleotide non-coding RNA. Lineage: Eukaryota; Viridiplantae; Chlorophyta; Trebouxiophyceae; Coccomyxaceae. The record is from the annotation of a GenBank genome assembly.
GCGACUGUAGUUUAAGGGUAGAAUAUAAGCUUCCCAAGCUUGGGGCCCGAGUUCGAGUCUCGGCAGUCGCA